This 21-nucleotide non-coding RNA is filed under the name Caenorhabditis elegans. The record is from RNAcentral. Lineage: Eukaryota; Metazoa; Nematoda; Chromadorea; Rhabditida; Rhabditidae.
UUUUCAGACUUCAAAAAUUGG